GCAUUUCAUAUUCUAUUUAUUUAUACAGAAUAGCACUAUAUUUCAUGCUUUAUGGCAUAAUGACUAGUUACAAAGUAAUUUAUAACAUUUUUCAAUACAGAUACAUUAACUUGAAGUGCAAAUAAAGAUUUCCCUAAUUUUUGUGCUAUUUUCACAUUUUUUGAAGAUGUGAGAAAAAUAUUUCUUCUCACAAGUGAAAUAGCUAUUCUCAGCAAAUGAUUGGUUGAAAUUUAAUUAUUAUGUCAAAUUUUUUUGUUUCUUCAGAAUUUUCUAUUGUGACAUCAUGAAAAAGAUUACCAUGUUUGAUAACGUCACAAAAACAAACUGAAUUUCUUCAAAUUUUUGAAAUGAAGGAUAAAAAUCAUUAGAAAAUCUAUAUUUCUUCCCUCACUUCCUUCCGCCUCUACCAAAUGUACAAAUAAUAAUCAUAGUUUUGGCAGUUACAAUUUUUAAUCAAAUAAUUUUGAAUUAAUUGAAUCUAAAUUCAAAAUAAUUGUUAAGGAAAAUCAUUAUUUUGAAGGAUAGGAAUAUGUAAAAAGAAAUGAAAAACAAUUCGGAAAACAGUUGAAGUUUCAAAAGGUAAAUCAACAAGAAUCAUUAGUUAACAAAUUAUCACAAAC
Molecule: long non-coding RNA, 620 nt
Filed under: Mytilus galloprovincialis (Mediterranean mussel)
Lineage: Eukaryota; Metazoa; Mollusca; Bivalvia; Mytilida; Mytilidae
Source: RNAcentral